Passer domesticus (house sparrow) is the source of this 3534-nucleotide long non-coding RNA. RefSeq lists it as uncharacterized. The record is from RefSeq and is a predicted model, not a curated record. The transcript is spliced from 4 exons. NCBI's taxonomy places the organism in Eukaryota, Metazoa, Chordata, Aves, Passeriformes, Passeridae.
UGGUGUGAGUUGGAAGAGACCUUCAAGAUAAUCCAGUUCCAAACCUCCCAUGCCAUGAGCAGGGGCACUUUUCACUAGACUCUCUCAGCCUGUCGUUGGAGAGGAGUUCCAGCCCUCUGAUCAUCUUCAUCACCCUCCUCUGGACACACUCCAACAGUUUAGAUACGAGGAUGUCUUGCAGCUCAAUGUCAGAUGCUUUGCACAAGUCUAGGUGUUUACUGACUUUCCUGAUCUGUGAGAUAUGUAGCAGUUUGUAGUAGCAACUUGUAGUUUAUCAUCUUAUGCUGCCUCUGGUGUCUGAAUUAAUAGCAAGGAAGUUGCAGCUGGGGUUGAUGCAGGAGCGUGUCAGACCUGAAAGAUGGAGAGAUGGUAGAUAUGGAAUUUGUGAUAAAAAUUGGUAAGUCAAGGAUGAACAGUGAGGAACAGAUUCAGGAACAGUAAAUGCUACAUGACUGUGGAGAGGAUCUGCCAGUGGUUGAAAACAAUAAAAAUGUACAGCGUAAGUGUCCCACAGAAAUCUUGAUAUAUCAGAUGUAACUGUGAUACAGAAAAGCAAGCAAAUGCCUAAUGAAUAUAUAUAAAAACAAUGGAGGAAAACACAGGUUCUUUAGGUUAUGUGGUUUAAACUCAGCUUGCAAAUAAGUGCCACGCAGGUGGUCAUUCACUUCUGGGGUGGGAUGGGGGAGACAUUUGGAAGGAAAAAAAUGAAGGGAAAAAUUAUUAAACUUGUGGACUGAGAUAAAGACAGCUUUGUAGGUAAAGAAAAAUCUGUAUGCACACGCGAAGGAAAAGAAGGAAUUCAUUCACCAUUUCCCAUGAACAGACAGGAGUUCAGCCAUCCCUAGGAAAGCAAGGCUCCAUCAUGCAUAAUGGUGGCUUGUGAAAACAAGCACCACCCCUCUGAACGUCCUCCCCUUUUUCCUUUCUUCCCCAUAUCCAUAUGCUGACCAUGACACCAUAUGGAGCGGAGGAUCACUUUGGACCAGCUGUCCCAGCUGUGUCCCUUCCCAACCUCUUGUGUACUUUCAGCCUCCUUUUGAUUGGGGUGGUGUGUGAAGCAGAAAGGACUGUGCAAGAACAGCUCAGCAGUAAGGAAAACAUCCCUGUGCUUUCAACAUUGUUUCCAGCACAAAUCCAAAACAGAGCAUCAUACAAGCUACUGAGAAGAAAACUAACUCUGCCUUUAUUAGAGAUGGGAGUGUGAUCACUGUACACCAAAUUAGUGUUUUGAUUUCCUCAGAAAAUAAUAUAGUUUGUACACACUAAAACUACUCUUCAGAAUAAACCAUCAAAUGAUAAAUUACAGUCAUGUGGUUGCCUGCACCAAAACUGUGCAGCUGAUUUGAGCUAGUUUUUCACAGAUUUUCUGUCCAAGGCUUAUGAAGAACAAAAGCACAGAGCGACAUAUGUCCUCAGUAAUUAUUUUAAAACAAACAUAGUGGGAUGCUUCAGACUAAUUUUCAGUGAUGUCAGAUUUAUUGUGGAUUUUCUUUGUUCCUGUUUUCUAUUUUUUAUCUCUUUUUUUUCCUAUUCGCAUUAUAAAACACCCUUUGAGCAGAAUUAAAACUGUUACUCUAUAAUACAAUAUUGGAACUAAUAGUAGAGACUGACUUAAGAACGUAUUUGAUAUUUUUAUUUCUAAUCAUUCUUGCAAUAUGGUUUCUAGUAUUACUUGUCUUUCUUCUGCUUUUCAUUUUCAAACAAAUUCCUAGAAGUAAAGACACCUGGGAUCUGUCAAAAUUUUUUGCAUAACUAGAAGUAGUGUAAUAUGAUCUUGCACCAAAUCUAAAUCUGUAUUUUUCAUCUUGCAAAUAUUGAUAUCAGAAGUGUUUUGCAUUCUACCAGCCCAUAAGUUUUCCUCAGUUUUUUAUUAACCUUAUUUUUUUCUUGAGACCUUUAGGUUUUGCUUUUGCUGAUAUUUUUUCCCCCCUUCAGUGGCCAUUUUCUUCCCAGAGAUUUUGCAAUUUUUUCCCCAGAUUCAAAAGACUUAUUUGUGACAAUGACAAUGUUCUCUGGAUGAAAUAUGCAAUUUCUUUCUUUUUCCAGGUCAAGUGUAGUUUUUUCUGAGAAAAAAGAAAGAAAAUUAUGUUGUAGCGAUUUAACCUGAACAUAUUUUGUAUAUAAUUUCAGAAGGAUGAAGGGUGUUUUUAAGAAUGGGACAUAAUUUUUUCAGACCAACAGACCAAAAGGUGAAAUUGAAGCACUGAGGAAAUGAAAACAGUAUUUUAACUCCUGAAAUAUCAAACUGAUGCAGCAGAUAUCACAAACACACAGGACCAUAUGUUAUAUUAUAGGGAUAUGUAGAUAUAUUUUUGACUCCAGUUUACAAUUUGCAAGUACAUAAUCUACCAUGAACUUGUCCCAUCUUUUCCUAUUGUUCAGUCCUAAUUUGAUUGAAUCCUAAUGAAUACUAAACAACCACAAGUAAUCCAGCAGAAAUAAAGGUUUUAAAUAACAUGUGCAUUUUUGAAAAUUUAGGGCAUUAACUAAUAUGAGAAACAGAGAGAAAAUUUCAAGUUUUAAAGCAGGGAUCAUUAUGUAAUGUAUCAAGUCUAAUUAUUCCUUCUAAAACUGAAAAGAAGAAAAAUGAAAAAAAUGCUUUUAUGUAACAAAUAGAUUGUACAGUGUCACUGUUUUUCAUGUUUAAGUUAGACAAACUCAAAUGACAAUUAAACCACAAUUCAGAGUGACUAAGUAUUAAAAGAAGCAGACAAAGAUGGAUUGAAUGCAAAGGUUAGAAGCAAGAAAAAUACAAAGCUAACAUCAGUUUUAUUUACCGACUUCUUGAAUCUUAUGGACUAUGUUUCAUUUUAGAUUUACUAUAAGUGAUUGUUUCUGGCAUAAUGAUUUAUGGAUGAUUUGCUAUUUUUUAAGCCAAAUUUAAAAUGCUAAAAUUUCAUAAGAAACUCUUAUUUCAGCUUUUGAGUGUUCAAACUUAAAGGGGACUUAGUGAUUGUACACUGCUAAUAAUAUAAUUCAGUUCAUAUGUGACAAGUAAAACUAAACUGCAAUAUGUCAUCAUAAUGUUCUUCUGUAUUCUACGAUGAAUAAAAUGGAGAGGGAUUACUAUAGAAUCACAGAAUCAUUUAGGAUGGAAUGAUCCUCUACUAUGAAGAAGAACAUUUCGUUUUUUUCGCUUAUUGGAUUUUUUUAAUUGCUUAACCUCUGCCCAGCCAUCAGUUGGGGUUAUACAUUGCACAAUCACAUUAGUAUUACAUAAUGCAUAUAGAUCUUUCUGGUUGCCAUUUUAUUUCCCAUGAGGUUGGGUGGCUACAGUCCACUUCCUAGUUACCAGUGCCUAAUUCAAAAAAGACAUUUCCUUUUUUUCUAAGGAGAGAAAGAACCUGACUAAGACUAAAGGAAUGAUUAAAGUACAACAGUAAAAUUUUUUUUUUUUAAUUACAAAGAACUAGCAUCUUAUUUUUCAAUCCUACUUGGCAUUUUCACUUGACAGACCUUGUAUAUCAUUAAGCUGAUAAACAACACAUGAAGAAUAUAUUUUUUAGUGUUGACAAAGGACUCCUACACUGAUCC